RNAcentral lists this ribosomal RNA (200 nucleotides) under uncultured bacterium. RNAcentral's name for it is "partial 16S ribosomal RNA". It matches the Rfam family "Bacterial small subunit ribosomal RNA", at positions 8 to 217 of the family's 1533-position model. The record is from RNAcentral.
AGAGUUUGAUCCUGGCUCAGGGUGAACGCUAGCGGGAGGCUUAAUACAUGCAAGUCGUGCGGAGGAGCAAUCCUCAGCGGCGCACGGGUGCGUAACACGUAAGUAAUCUGCCCUUCACUUGGGAAUAUGUCGGAGAGAUCCGAAGCAAUGCCCGGUAUGCUCACGAGACGGCAUCGUCUUGGGAGGAAAGGAGUGAUCCG